Molecule: transfer RNA, 76 nt
Filed under: Clostridiales bacterium
Lineage: Bacteria; Bacillati; Bacillota; Clostridia; Eubacteriales
Description: tRNA-Arg
Rfam family: tRNA
About the family: Transfer RNA (tRNA) molecules are approximately 80 nucleotides in length. Their secondary structure includes four short double-helical elements and three loops (D, anti-codon, and T loops). Further hydrogen bonds mediate the characteristic L-shaped molecular structure. tRNAs have two regions of fundamental functional importance: the anti-codon, which is responsible for specific mRNA codon recognition, and the 3' end, to which the tRNAs corresponding amino acid is attached (by aminoacyl-tRNA synthetases). tRNAs cope with the degeneracy of the genetic code in two manners: having more than one tRNA (with a specific anti-codon) for a particular amino acid; and 'wobble' base-pairing, i.e. permitting non-standard base-pairing at the 3rd anti-codon position.
Source: RNAcentral
GCGCCCGUGGCUCAAAGGAUAGAGCAUGUGUUUCCGGGGCACAGGGUUGGGGGUUCGAGUCCCUCCGGGCGUGCCA